RNAcentral lists this ribosomal RNA (460 nucleotides) under uncultured bacterium. Its description in RNAcentral is "partial 16S ribosomal RNA". It matches the Rfam family "Bacterial small subunit ribosomal RNA", at positions 338 to 795 of the family's 1533-position model. The record is from RNAcentral.
CCUACGGGAGGCAGCAGUGAGGAAUAUUGGUCAAUGGACGAGAGUCUGAACCAGCCAAGUAGCGUGCAGGAUGACUGCCCUAUGGGUUGUAAACUUCUUUUAUAAAGGAAUAAAACGAGGCACGUGUGCCUUUUUGCAUGUACUUUAUGAAUAAGGAUCGGCUAACUCCGUGCCAGCAGCCGCGGUAAUACGGAGGAUCCGAGCGUUAUCCGGAUUUAUUGGGUUUAAAGGGAGCGUAGAUGGGUUGUUAAGUCAGUUGUGAAAGUUUGCGGCUCAACCGUAAAAUUGCAAUUGAUACUGGCAGUCUUGAGUGCAGUUGAGGUAGGCGGAAUGCGUGGUGUAGCGGUGAAAUGCUUAGAGAUCACGAAGAACCCCGAUUGCGAAGGCAGCUUACUAAGCUGUGACUGACAUUGAGGCUCGAAAGUGUGGGUAGCAAACAGGAUUAGAUACCCCUGUAGUC